GAUGAACGCUGGCGGCGUGCUUAACACAUGCAAGUCGAACGAUGAAAGCGGGAGCUUGCUCCUGCUGGAUUAGUGGCGAACGGGUGAGUAACACGUGAGUAACCUGCCCUUGACUCUGGGAUAAGCGUUGGAAACGACGUCUAAUACCGGAUACGACCUUCGGAGGCAUCUCCUGGGGGUGGAAAGAAUUUCGGUCAAGGAUGGACUUGCGGCCUAUCAGCUAGUUGGUGAGGUAAUGGCUCACCAAGGCGACGACGGGUAGCCGGCCUGAGAGGGUGACCGGCCACACUGGGACUGAGACACGGCCCAGACUCCUACGGGAGGCAGCAGUGGGGAAUAUUGCACAAUGGGCGCAAGCCUGAUGCAGCAACGCCGCGUGAGGGACGACGGCCUUCGGUUG
Molecule: ribosomal RNA, 400 nt
Filed under: uncultured bacterium
Lineage: Bacteria
Description: bacterial SSU rRNA
Rfam family: Bacterial small subunit ribosomal RNA
Source: RNAcentral